This 341-nucleotide unclassified non-coding RNA is filed under the name Hevea brasiliensis (rubber tree). Lineage: Eukaryota; Viridiplantae; Streptophyta; Magnoliopsida; Malpighiales; Euphorbiaceae. The record is from RNAcentral.
UAUACCAACAUAAGCUAACAAAAACACAUACUUAGCAUGGUCAAGAAUUGUAGCCAUCUAAAAUAUAAUAUCCCUUCUUACUCUCUCGAAUACCAAGAGUUGGUCAAUAUUCAGGAUUGUCUAAAAGAUACAUUAAUCAAAUUACAAUACUAUAACAAUAUCAUUAAAUUCUGAAAACCAGGAAACAAUAACAUAGAACUUGAAAGGUAAUAGUAAAAGAAAGAAAAAUGAUACAUAAGAAUCAGAAACAAGAAUAGAGGACUCAACUGGAACAUAAUAACAUCAGAAAGUCAACUCAAACCAUUGAGGGUAAGGAGGAGUAUGAAAAUGAAGAAAAUAAA